RNAcentral lists this ribosomal RNA (253 nucleotides) under uncultured bacterium. RNAcentral's name for it is "partial 16S ribosomal RNA". It matches the Rfam family "Bacterial small subunit ribosomal RNA", at positions 524 to 776 of the family's 1533-position model. The record is from RNAcentral.
UACGGAGGGUGCAAGCGUUAAUCGGAAUUACUGGGCGUAAAGCGUGCGUAGACGGCUAUCUAAGUCGGGUGUGAAAGCCCCGGGCUCAACCUGGGAAUUGCAUUCGAGACUGAAUAGCUAGGGUACGGUAGAGGGAAGUGGAAUUUCCGGUGUAGCGGUGAAAUGCGUAGAUAUCGGAAGGAACAUCAGUGGCGAAAGCGACUUCCUGGACCAGUACCGACGUUCAGGCACGAAAGCGUGGGGAGCAAACAGG